GAUGGUUCUUAGUGUCGACUUAGGCAGUACUAGUACUUAAAGUAAAUUACUGCACUGUCACUAUGUUUAAAUCUAGUCAUUAUAAAAUCACCAAAGUCUAAGCACAAUACAAAACAAGAACAGACAGACAGACCCGGUUUUUAUGACUAUGAGACUUACGAUUUUUGCUUUAUCCUACAUAUCGGUCUGCUAAUGAUGUUGUC
This 203-nucleotide long non-coding RNA is filed under the name Mytilus galloprovincialis (Mediterranean mussel). The record is from RNAcentral. Lineage: Eukaryota; Metazoa; Mollusca; Bivalvia; Mytilida; Mytilidae.